CCUGUUUUACUUUGACACUUUGACAGAAGUCGAAGUGCGUUCGACUAUUCGAACGCCGCCUUCGGAUGGGACUUUGUUAUUUUUCAAGGCAGAAAUAGACCGACCGCACAGCCUGAAUCUGUGGAACUGUUUUUGGGCAUACAAACAGGCAUGCGGCCGGUCCUAAGAGACUUUUCCAUAUCUCUGGAACCCCUGAACGGAU
Pelobates cultripes (western spadefoot toad) is the source of this 202-nucleotide non-coding RNA. The record is from the annotation of a GenBank genome assembly. Lineage: Eukaryota; Metazoa; Chordata; Amphibia; Anura; Pelobatidae.